RNAcentral lists this unclassified non-coding RNA (327 nucleotides) under soil metagenome. RNAcentral's name for it is "partial contains 5.8S ribosomal RNA, internal transcribed spacer 2, and large subunit ribosomal RNA". The stretch from base 1 to 120 matches the Rfam family "5.8S ribosomal RNA", at positions 35 to 154 of the family's 154-position model. The record is from RNAcentral.
GAUGAAGAACGUAGCGAAAUGCGAUAAGUAAUGUGAAUUGCAGAAUUCAGUGAAUCAUCGAAUCUUUGAACGCACAUUGCGCCCCUUGGUAUUCCGAGGGGCAUGCCUGUUCGAGCGUCAUUAUAACCCUCAAGCUCAGCUUGGUGUUGGGGCCUGCUGCACUGGCAGCCCUUAAAAUCAGUGGCGGCGCCAUCUGGCUCUAAGCGUAGUAAUUCUUCUCGCUAUGGAGUCCUGGUGGAUGCUUGCCAUCAACCCCCAAUUUUUCUAUGGUUGACCUCGGAUCAGGUAGGGAUACCCGCUGAACUUAAGCAUAUCAAUAGCGGAGGA